This is a non-coding RNA of Macaca mulatta (Rhesus monkey), 5356 nucleotides long. Lineage: Eukaryota; Metazoa; Chordata; Mammalia; Primates; Cercopithecidae. The record is from RefSeq and is a predicted model, not a curated record.
AAGCAACUUGAUACACACUGAAAUUAUUUUUAAAUUUUUUUAAAUGAUGAAAUUCAGUUUAUUAAUCUGUGUUUUACAGAUUCUUAUUUAAAGUUCAACUGAACAUCAGCAAGUUGAUUAAAAGAUUCUGUCGGCCCUCUUGAGCACAUCCCAAAGGCAGACCUCUGGCCACAAGGUGCAGGGCAAAGGAGACAGCCCUGGUCUCUGCGACUGUUAUGGAAAGGGGUGGUGACUCCAGCUUUCCACUGACCCACUGUGGGGCUACAGUUUGGAGGCGAGACAUAUACGAGAAUCCCUUUGAAAAGGUAAAAAUAAUGAGUAAUUCAAAAGUAAUACCUGUAGUCAAAGAAAAUUAAUCUUCCAUUGCUGAGAACCUAUGUGUUCAGCUGAAGUUUUGUUUCUUAUCCAUCCAGUAUUGAAAAAUUUAUAAUAGCAAAGUUAUAGGAAAUAAACACAAUCUAAUAUUAACACCAUUGGGUUCAAUUCCAUUUUCAUAUAUUUUAUUCUUAGACAAUACAAAUUUCCCCAUAUAACGAGCUUUCAUGGUAAUUUAUUACUUGGCUGUCUCAAGCCUGGAGCUAAAAAGUAUUUAAAAAACAAAAUAAAAGUGCUAUUUAGCAUGAAAAUGUUUGAGAAUAUAUAGCUAAAAAAGAAAUAUGGCAAAAUGGUAAGAAUUUUUGACUACAGAGUAAAUGUGAAGAUAGCUAAGAGGCUUAUUUAACAGUUUUUAGAAUCAACUAGAUAUAAUUUUUCAUUCAACAAAGGUUGUUUAACGAUUAUGCACACGUUGACUAGAAAGGCGCUCUUUUAGGUCCCUUUUUAGAAACAACAUAGUUUAGUCAAAUAUUAGUUCAAUUUUUGAACUAUUUUGUUUAAAUUUUUUUAGCUGGUUUUUUUUCUCUUUGUAUUAAACUAUUUUCUUUUUAGGAACUCUAAAGAUAUGACAUUGGGCAAGCCACUUAGUUUCAAUAUCCUCAUCUGAGAGAAAAGGGGGUUGAACCCUUAGUUAUUGCUCAAAUUCCAUCCAAUCUAAAUUGAUGUGCUCUGAAAUGUUUGAUUCCCACAUAUUAAUUAAAAAAAAGUGGUAAAAACAGUGUUUUCUUAUGCAUAUAAUCUUUGUGAGACAUAUUUAAUUGUGCCAACAAAAAAGGAACAUUUAUUUUCAGACUAUAUUAAAUAAUUAGACUAUGCUGCAAAAAUCUCAUAUUCCAUUAGAAAGAAAUGUCAAAUUAAUGUACACUCCCACAAAUUAAUUUUUACAAAAAGUUAAAUCACUAGCAAUAACAAGCAACAAUAUUUCAAAAAUGAUUUUUAGGUUUUUCAUUUCAAUCCCAGUUAUCUAAAUUGUAAAACCGGUCAGUGCGAGGAAAGCCCUACCAAAACCUAUGAAUGGAGAAGGGAGAAAGGUGUGGUUCAAAGUUUCUCAAUUAUGGCACUGUUGACAUUUUGGGCCAGAUAAUUCUUUAUUGUAGGGAGCUCUCUGUGCACCAUAGGAUGUUUGGCAGCGCCCCUCUGCUCUAUCCACAAGACACCAGUACCACUGCCUCCCACUCUGAAGCUGUGACAACCAAAACCGGCUCCAGAUUUUGCCAAAUGUCUCCUAAGGGAAGAGGAGUGGAGGAAUCAGCCCUGGUUGAGAGCCACUGGGUUAGGUAGAACCGCUUUAUUGUAGUGGUUUGGAUCAGUGAUACUCAAGAGAUUGGGAUAGGGCUUUUCUAACCAUACAUAGCUCCAGAGAUUUUAGUAAGCAGGUCACACCCCCUCAAUUAUUUGUAAUUACUUAUACUUCCAUUGCCCCCUUUCAUCUCUGUCCAGUGCAAUGCAGUACACCAAAAAUUAGUAGAGCAAUUUUUCAAAGCCUAAAAUAUUCUCGGUUAACCAGAUGAAAUCUGUGAGAGCCUUUUCCUUAAUGAAAGCCCCUCCAAGCCAAUUUCUGAACUCAUGUAUUUCCUCUUGAGUUGUGCAUAAGCACAACUGUUUUAUUGAGAACUGUAGCGCCAGAACUUCAUUGUCUUUCUUUACCUGUUCUGGGAGAAAAACUGACAAAAGUUGUGAUAAUCCCUGUCCUUCUCGCUAUUAUGAGAGAGGGGCAAGCAAGGCCAUGGCACAGAGCAAUUAAAAACACACUCCCCUCUUCCCUUUCUGUAAAUGCCAUCCACACACUGCAAACAUGCAGAGUCUCAUUCUUUUAUAAGCAACAAUCCUUCAACUAUGAUUAUAACUGUCUCAGUCACUCUGGGUGGUGAGGUGGCCAUAAGUCUGAAAAAGUGAAGCUCUUUGGUGAAGACCAGAUGCAUGGAAACAUGCUUCUCCCACCUGCCAAAAUAACUCCAUGCCUCUGGCCCAAACCUUAAUCAAACCCUUGGCUUUCCGCAGCAUGUUACACAUCAUAAAAUGCUUUCACAAACAUUACCUUAAAUGAUCCUACACCUUGUAAGUGGGAUGGGGAGGUGUUUUUAUUCUCAUUUUACAGAUGAGGAAACUCUGGCCCAGAGAGGUUAUGAGACUAGUUUCAGCCAGUUAUUUACUGGGGGAGCCAAGAUUUGAAUGCAGCUUGCUGACCUCAAAGCCAGUGCUUUUUCCACGUAAUUUUCACAAAAGUAGUGCUCAGCAGAACGACAGCUUUAAAGCCAUGAUGGUAGUCUUUAGAUUCCAUGCAUUUAGGACUCUCUGCAAGGCCUGGACCUUAAAAAAACAAAUUCUACUCUGCUGUAUUCAUGCAGGUCUGACAAAUAGCAGUAAAGCAGUCAUCCUUCUUAGCAAGCUACCUACGACUGACAAAGCCAUAUAUUUUUCUAAUGGAAAACGUCUCCACAGAUAAGGAAAUAAAGUCACUUAACUUUCCAGGAUUCAUUAACUAAAGCUGAUGUUGCUGCUGAUGCUGUUGUUAAUGUCCCACAAAAUUAAUCUAACAAUACCUACUUACUCCUUGUUCACAAAUCACACACACUAAAUUUGGAGUGCCCUAGAAUGAUAUCUCUUUUCUUGUUAGUAAAACUGCUGAGAGCCAUUCCCUAGCAAGGCUGGCUAGUACAGGUUUGCUAUUGGAAGAUAAUGGAAGGAGAAACUGCCAUUAAUAAAGCAUGAAUACUUGUCAUUAGCCAGACUGGAACAUUGGAAAAGUGACAUUUUAGCUUAGAAGGAAGGUCUCUGAAGCUAUAUGGGUAGGUCUGAGGGUCUUAAAACUGGCUUCCAUUUGAAGGGGCUCUCCUCCCAGCAGAUUGCUGCAAACCUCCUCCCAGCAGAUUGCUCCCACUGGCCACCUUUCUGAAUGUCGACAUUAGGAAACAAGUUUAAUAUUUACAUUUUGUGAAAGCAUGACCAAGAAAAAGUAAUACUAACCUCAUCUAUAGCUUUUUUAUAGCUCUGAAAUGAGAGGAACCCAAUCCAGAAGAAUCCACAGAAGGAGGAAAAGCCAGCAGAAAGGCAGCAGAUUAGACACAAAAUUGGAAUUGUUAGUACGCAACUGAUAAAUACAAAAGGGCGAAGAGAAUGUCAACCCAGGAUGAUGCAAAUCCCUUCAUUAUUACUCUCAGUAUACGUCCUUACUUUAAGGUGUUAAAAAAGAAUAAACCAAAAAGCUUCACGUUCAUUUCACAGAAAAGAUUCUCAAGAGAUUUAAAUAGAAAAAGUAGAUAGUAAUUCAACCCAAAUUAAUUUUCAACUUUCAAAUUUCAGCCUCCAUACUCCUCUUUAAGACUACUUGGGGGUUUAUCAUGUUACAGCAGUGAAGCUGAAUAUUAAGUUGUUAGGACACCUGUUGGACACUGCUUAAUAAGUUUGGUCCAGAAAAAUAUUGUCCUGGAGGUAUGAAAAAUAGCAGAAAAACUGUAAUAUUAAUUCAUGUGGAAAAUAAUAUGGGGAAAGGGUAGAAGAGAUUAGAGAAAUUCACAGAAAGUACCCAAGCCUCUUUAACUUCUUUCUUUUUUGCCAAAAUUGCUGAGUAGAAAUUAUGGAAUGAUAGAAGUUAUUUCUCCUCCUGUUGUAUAGUUAAAGGACUGCUAAUGAUCAGCAAAUAGCCAAAGGCAGAGGAGGCAAUCCAAGAUCUCUUCAGUUCUUUCCUAAUCAAGGAUGACUUUCUGCUGGAUGUUUCUAGCAUCUGUUCUUACUAAUCUUGACAAUUUUUGUUCGUAUCAUGAGUGUAUCCCCAACUACUUAAUCCUGUGGGUUCUCUGGUAAAUUAAGAGUUCAAAACUCUUGGAGAGAAAUGCACUCACAGCUGGUCGACUGGGCCGGGUAAUGUCCCUGGAUUCUUCUGGUUUCACCUUGGCAGGCUCAUGGGGGAGUACAGGUGAUCCUUCUGACUUACUGUUGGCUAGAGGGAAAAACAGAGGACCAAGAAAGAGAUGGCCAUCAAAAAGUGCUGGCUCAGGUUCUGAAUGAAUCAUCUGUGAUGUGUCAUCACAUUGAGAUUACUCAGUGGACACGUCAUUCGCUUAGGCAAAUCCUCAAGCACAUCCAUGAAAAAUAUAAUGUUCAGGCAAACACAUUUAGGUUUGUCACCUGGAAAUCACUAGUAACAAUUAAAAAAAAAAACUGUAGCAAGUACCAUCACCACUAGAGCACUUCUUAUGUGUCAGGCAUAGUGCUAAAUGCUUUCUAUGUCAAUUAUCUCAUAUAAUCCUCACUCCAACCCAAUGAUGUGGCACUAUUUUCCUAUUUUACAGAACACAGAUUUACAAAGAUGACAUGACUGUCCUGAGGUCACACUGAAAUUAUACACAGAGCUGGAGUUCUGAUUUCUGAAAGUCCUAUUCUCAGUCACUAUGCUAAAUGAGCCUCUAAGGUUCUAUGCUUGUUUUCUUCUUUUAUCAUCUGUCCAAUCAGGAUAGGUUAUUUUGUUGAAAUUUUGUGUGGAAAAAAAAAAGAAACUUAUUUUAUUUGGUGGGACGGUUUUUAAUUAGGGAUGGGAGUGGUCUCAGCCAUUUAAAAAUAAAAGAAUGAGGUGAGGGCAGGAAGGAGGUUGUUACAGGAGAAGGGCCCUAGACUGGAGGUACAGAGCAAGGCGGACCCCGACAGCUGCAGAGUGAAUAGCCUCUCUGCGGUCUAGGAGCUUACAGAUAGAGAAGAUGUAAUUUAGGGUAAGAGAGGUUGUUUUUAUUUUUUAAAAAGUAGUCUUUCUUGGGCAGGGACAUACUGGGGAUACAAGAGUGCUUUUAAUCCAGAAGAAUAAAGGGCUGAAGGAAAUAAAAAGUAAGCCUGAACUAGAUCACAGAAUUAAAAUGGUAUGUGUUUAAGUUUGGUUUACUUAAACAUUUGCUCUAAGAAUAUGAAGUUGUCUAUAAAUAGAAAAAAGGUAAGAGAAUGGCUGUUUUCUUUCUUUCCUUUAUGUUUUCUAGAGAUAGGGCUCUGUCAC